Musca domestica (house fly) is the source of this 811-nucleotide long non-coding RNA. RefSeq lists it as uncharacterized. The record is from RefSeq and is a predicted model, not a curated record. The transcript is spliced from 2 exons. Lineage: Eukaryota; Metazoa; Arthropoda; Insecta; Diptera; Muscidae.
UACCAUGAACCAAUACACGCCACGCAAGCGCUCUGAAAUUUACAGAAGUCAAUUGUGAAAACUCAACGUGCUUUUAAAACAUUAAAAAAUGUGAGAAGUGCGCCUUCUAAGAACACCAUUAAGCGUUUAUACGAAAAAUUUUCGACUGGUAAGGCUCUUUCUAAUCCGAAGAGGCCAUAUAAAAGUCGACCAAGGCGAUCCGCCGAGAAUAUCGGUGCCGUACGAGCCAGUGUUGAGAGGUCCCCAAGAACAUCCCAAAAACGCCGUUCUCAGCAGUUGGGCAUGGCUCGUUCCACUUUACAACGGAUUAUUCGCAUUGAUUUGCAUUUGUUCCCGCACAAAAUUCAAUUGACGCAAAGAAUGUUGCCUGCGGACAAGCCUCGUCGAUUGGAAUGGGCCCAAAGAGUCAUGGGUCCGUCGAAUAUGGGCAACCCUUUUUCUAGGAUGCUCAUUUCAACGAUUUGUGAAUCUGAGAUUUUUUAUCACUCAGGUGUACUCACCUAAUUCUUCUCCGAACAGAUGUUCACAUAGAUGGGUCAUUUCUGGUGAGAGCAUCUCGACUAUUCAAUAUAUCAUCCAAUAAUUUAAAUAUAUUUAAUUUAACCACUUUAUCUUUAUAGCCACUGGCACAUUUGUUUUGUAUUUUUUUUUUAAUUUUUUAUAAAUAGUUAUAUUUUGUUUAUUGAAUUUAAUAUUUAAUUUUGAAAUAUGUAAAACUGUACACUUGUAAUCGUUGAAUAUUGUAAUAGUUAUUGUCCCCUGGGAUUUUCAUUACAAAUUCAACUGUUAAUUAAUAAAUAAUCCAGACACA